Dunckerocampus dactyliophorus (ringed pipefish) is the source of this 8916-nucleotide RNA transcript. It is a transcript of the gene named forkhead box O3A, with no coding region annotated. Lineage: Eukaryota; Metazoa; Chordata; Actinopteri; Syngnathiformes; Syngnathidae. The transcript has 3 exons. The record is from RefSeq and is a predicted model, not a curated record.
CCUACCGUCGCGGUAAUUGGAGGCAGCAUAGCAGAGGAGGAAGACGACGUGCAGCGACGUUUCCAGCAGCAGCAGCUUCUAUUCUGCAUCUUGAAUAAGAUGUUUGCUUUAUGACCACGCUAGGUUCCUGCCAAUGUUCUUGCUAGCUGCUGAGUGGGCGGCGCCACAUUUCUGCAGUCAUUUUGUUGCGGAAAGAAAAAGAAGGAGCCAGUGGAGGAGGUCUGCUGUGCACGAUGAAGAUGAACCGUGCAGUGCAGAGAAGAUCGUCAAGAUGGCAGCUGAGGGCUGCAGAAUGAAGAUGACGUGUAGCGAUUCGAUCUUGUGAAUGGGCUCCGGGCUUCUUGUGCUGGAACGCCGCCUGGAUUCCGUCAAGAGAGUUCCCCCGACCCCCGCCCUCCCCUGCUCGCCAUUCGGUGCACGCCGCAUGAGGACAGGACCACAAGAAGGGGGGGCGAUGUUCUGACAUUCCAGCAAAUAGCCUGCACCCAACGCCCGCACUUGAUGGCAUGCGACCCGAGUGACUUUGGAACCGUCCGUGCACCGACCCGCUUACCGCCGUUGACAUGGCCGAGAAGGCGCCGAAUGUGGACAUCGACCCGGACUUUGAGCCCCAGAAGCGGCCGCGGUCGUGCACUUGGCCCCUGCCCCGUCCGGACUGUGGUGCGGGUAAACCGGGGGCAAAUGACGCUGACGUCAUCCCCGAGGAAGAUGAUGACGACGAGGGAGGCGGCGGCAGCGCGAGGAGUGGCGAGCUCCCCCGGGAGGCCGCCGGUGCUCUCACCCCGAGCGGCGGAAGCGGCAGCCGCCUCCACCUCCACUCGCGGCCCGCGGAGGUCCAGCCGCGGGGGCUCCGCGGCGACGAGGCCGGGGACGGGUCGCCUUCCUCGGCUCAGCUCGCGCCCGCAGCGGCGGCGGCUCCGCAGCAGCCGCGGAAGUCUUCGGCCCGCAGGAACGCUUGGGGGAACUACUCGUACGCAGACCUCAUCACGCAGGCCAUAGAGUCGUCCUCCGAGAAGAGACUCACCUUGUCCCAGAUCUACGACUGGAUGGUCCGCUCAGUCCCCUACUUCAAGGACAAGGGAGACAGCAACAGCUCGGCCGGCUGGAAGAACUCCAUCCGCCACAAUCUGUCCCUCCACAGCCGCUUUGUCAAAGUUCAGAAUGAAGGGACGGGCAAGAGCUCCUGGUGGAUGGUCAACCCGGACGGCGGCAAAGGAGGGAAAGCUCCGCGGCGUCGCGCCGUCUCCAUGGACAACAGCAAGUACAUCAAGAGCGCCCGAGGCCGUGCCGCCAAGAAGAAGGCCUCGCUUCAGGCCGCUCAGGACGGCAGCUCGGAGAGCUCGUCCAGCCUCUCCAAGUGGACGGGGAGCCCCACCUCCCGCAGCAGCGACGAGCUGGACGCCUGGACCGACUUCCGCUCCCGGACCAACUCCAACGCCAGCACGCUGAGCGGCCGCCUGUCGCCCAUCCUGGCCAACUUGGAGCUGGACGAGGUCCCCGUCGAUGACUCUCCUCUGUCCCCCAUGCUGUACUCCAGUCCCAGCAGCGUGUCGCCGUCCACGGGGCCCGCCGCACUCUCGGACCUGGCGGGAACCGUAAACCUAAACGACGGUCUCUCUGACGACCUGAUGGACGACCUUUUGGACAACAUCAGCCUGACGGCGUCCCAGCAGCCUCCUCCCGGAGAGGAGGACAGCAGAGGCAAAGGUCAGGGAGGCUCCGUGUUCACCUUCAGCUGCUCGGGAAGCGGACUGACCGGCCCCGUGGGCAGCUACGGUCCAAAUCCUCUGUUCAGCCCGCCGUCCAUCACGAGCCUGCGCCAGUCACCCAUGCAGACCAUCCAGGAGAACAAGCAGACCACCUUCUCCUGCGUGUCGCACUUCAGCAACCACCAGACGCUGCAGGACCUCCUCAGCCUGGACUCCCACGGCCAUGGCGUCAUGCUCACGCAGUCUGACCCGCUCAUGUCGCAAGCCAGCACCGCCAUCGCCCUGCAGAACACCCGCCGCAACGCUCUCCUGCUGCGCAAGGACCACGCCGGCGCCGCUCAGGCGCAAAGCUUGCCUGCCUGGCAAGCCGCCCUGGCGAGUGCGGACAACGGCGACGCCAAGCACCUCAAGGCUCCCGGCAAGAACGCUCUGCCCGGCCGGGACCGUUUUCCCUCCGACUUGGAUCUGGAGGUCUUUAACAGCAGUCUGGAGUGCGACAUGGACUCCAUCGUCCGUAACGAGCUGAUGGAGGCCGACUGCUUGGACCUCAGCUUUGACACCGCCCAGAACGCCAACAUGAACCCGAGAGGCUUCUCCGGCGUCAAACAGACCUCGGCACACAACUGGGUCCAGAGCUGAGAGCUUAGAACGACCGGGACUCGACUCCUGGGGGUUAUGGAGUCUUAUUUUGCCAUCCUAUUCAACUGAGUCAACUUUAAGGCUGCGUUCACACUCCGGGCCCCACCAAAAUAAAAUUUAAAAAAAGACACUUGGCGUACAUUUUGGUGCUUAGAGUUCACGCUGGUGUUUUUGUCAUGUGACCAAAGGCUGCAGUAAAGAACACAUGCCUCAAGUAAGCCCUGAUUGGACAGCUUUCAUCAGUCUAACUGUUGUAGCUUCUUGUUAUCAUCCGCUUUCUCACCAGCUCACUUCAACAAAAGCUCCUAAAAUACACUUUUAAAGCGCUUUGGUCACAUAUCAGGUGACAAACGUGGUCACACCAAAUACUGACUGGUUUUAGGACCCCCACGGACCACCCCCGGUACAGUUAAAGUAAACAUUUUGGAGUGGCCUUUUAUUGUGGCCAACCUGCGCAAUAAUCAUGCUGUCCCAUCAGCAUCUUGAUACGCCACACCUGUGAGGAGGCGGGCUUAUGCAACAUGACGGAUGCUCACUAAUGAGCAUUCGUUAUUUGAGAGAGCUCAGCCUUUUGCGUACACACAAAAAGGGAAGGGAAGCAAAAACUAUUAUGAUUGCCGAGUUUAUCUUCUGCUGUUUACCAGCGUAGAUUUCACCAAAAGCUUCUGAAAUAUACUUUCCAAGAGAUAUUGAGACAUAUCACGUGACGUAACUCGCAUGUUCCACAGCAGAAUGCCAUCUGCUGGGUUAAAUACGUUUCUGCCAUUUUCUCCCGCUUAGAUUUCACCAAAAGCUUCUAAAGCAUACUUUUAAAGAGCUUUUGUGACAUAAUGUGACACAACUCAAACAGUCAAAAUGAAAAUGCUGCCAACUGGGUUGAAUACGGAGGUUAUUUUUUCUAAAUUUGCACUAUUUAUCAGUGCAGAGUUCACCAAAAACUUCUAAAAUAGACUUUUAAAGAGCUUCCGUGACAUAAUAUUUUAAUAUUCUACUAGCUUAAAUUUCACCAAAAGCCUGGAAAACAUACUUUGAAAGAGUUGUUGUGAUAUAUGAUGUGAUGGAUUUCCAAUGUAACUCAACGAUUUCAAACCAAAAUGCCAACUUCUGGGUUGAACACGUAAAUUAUUUUUGCAUUGUGCUAUUUUCGCCAGCUUGGAUUUCACCAAAAGCUUGUAAAACAUACUUUUAACAAAGCUUUCUCUGACCUACUAUGUGAUGUCAUUGACAUAUUCCAAAGCAGCAUGCCAUCUGCUGGGUGAAAUACGUAGGUUAUUUUAAUAUUCUACUACGUUAACCAGCUUAGAUUUCACCAAAAGCUUCUAAAAUAGACUUUCUAAAAGGAGCGCACGCGCAGAGCCGAGACAACACGUCCAACACAUCUUCUCAUACAUUUAUCAUCUCUGCAUGCUCACCAUUAAGCGGACCGGGACCCAUCUCUCAAGAGGUCCCGGUCCGCUUGUGCCGGGCCCACUGAGGUUGGCACCAAGCAAACGUGACGAGUGUGAACGCAGCCUCCGCCUUCACCGUGCAAAAACGUCUUCAAAGAACCUGAGCGAUGUGCGUCCGGAUGUGUUGGUCUCAGGGAAUCACUACGUUCUGAACGUUCGUCACGUCCACGUUUUUGCCAAACCGCUGUCUGAGAGCUUGUUUACGCUCGGAAAGGAAAAAAGUCGGAGGAGGAGGAUGCUGGACGUUUGGGUUCAUCUUGGAGGGACGCAAAAAGACUUGAAGUGUGAAUUCCAACCUGCAAAUAUGAAGGCUAAGCUAAUAUGUGAGCUGCAGUUUGCUGAGCGCAACAUCGGAAGACGCACUCGCCGUGCCAAGUUUGUUAUUACCAUCCAUGUAAUCUCCCCUUUUCUCCCGUCUUUCGCCGGCGGAACACGUCCUGUGCCGGAAGGGGGCGGGGUUGGUGCUGUUGAAAAUUACAUUCCACGUCACCCGAUUCCCAUUUGUUUGUCUCACAUGUUUAUAGCUAGGCGUGGGUCAGGUGGCCAUUUAUAAAUUUCCAUUUGAAUUUACUUCAAGUAACUUUAACAACAUUGGUUCUGUUGCAUUGUUUUUUAUUAAAUGUAGUCCAUUGAAAUUAAUUUACAUUUGGAAUUAUACUCAAUUUGAAUUUCAAUAAAUUACAUUCCUUCAAAUUUAAUUUAAUUAAAAGAACAAUGCAACACAACCGAUGUUGUAAUAGCAGGAAGGCAUAAAUUGCCCAUCCAGGAUUAACAGGGCGGAUGAGUUGAUUGUAAACAAAAAUACGACAAGCGUAAUGCGCUCGACUUUUACACCAACAGCUGAGUAGCAGCAUUUUGAAGUGCAUGCAGAGCUAGAUAUUUUUAUACAAACGUUAGUUUCAAACCAUUUAUACCCUUCCAAGAGUAGCCAAGUAUGUUGCAGAAUGCACCAGUAUAUUGUACAACACAGCAGCAACAGAACCAAUGUUGUAAUAGCAGUAAGGCGCAAACCGCUCGGCUGACAUUCAUUGGCACUGAUGAGUUGGUCGUAAAAGAACACCACCACAAGUGGAACGCGCAUAUGACUUGCACUCCAACAGCUGAGUAGCAACAUUUUAAAGUGCAUGCAGAGCUGGAUAUUUUUAUACAGAUGUUACUUUGGACAGCCAAAUAUGCUAUCAAGCCAUUUGUUAGCUCCCAAAAGCGGCCGAGUAUGUUGUAGAAUAUGCUGGUAUAUUGUACAACACAGCAGCAACAGAACCAAUGUUGUAAUAGCGGUACCAACAUUAAUGGUGCUGAUGAGUUGAUUGUAAACAGUACAAUAAGCGGAAAGCGCCCACAACUUUCACACCAACAGUUGAGUAGCAACAUUUUAAAGCGCGCACAGAGUAAGGUAUUUCUACGGACAUUACUUUGGACAGCUAAGUAUGCUAGCAAACCAUUUAUUAGCUUCCUUAAGUGGCCAAGUAUGUUGAAGAAUAUAUUAGACUGGUAUAUUGUACAACACAGCAGAAACAGAGCCAAUCUUGUAAUAGCGGGAAGGAGAAAACUGCUCGGCCAACAUUAACAGCGCUGAUGAGUUGAUUGUAAACAACAACACGACAAGCGUAACACAUGCCCGACUUGCACACCAACAGCUGAGUAGCAACAUUUUAAAGCGCAUGCAGAGCUAGAUAUUCCUACGGAUGUUGCUUUGGACAGCUAAAUUAUGCUAGCAAGCUAUUUGUUAGCUUCCAUGAGCGGCCAAGUGUGUUGUAGAAAAUACUGGUAUAUUCUACAACACAGCAGCAACAGAACCAAUGUUGUAAUAGUGGUAACAGCGCAGAUAGGUUGACUGUUAGCAACAGUACACGUGUAAGGUUAAGUUAUGCUACAGCGCCACUCCUGCAAACCCAGCGGCCGAGCUUGAAACGUCAUUUCUGUUGUGUUCCUCUCAUGAGAGCACCCGAAUGCUUCUGCUACGUCCUCCACUCCGCAGGAAGCUAAGUAGGUAGUCAACAAGACUUGUGGUUGCUCGCUCUCAGGAAAACACUGCCCUCUACGGGAUUUGAACGCCAGUGUGGCGACUAGCCUGUAGCAUGAUCCAGCCUGCGCACCAACAGCCCGUUAGCAACAUUUUAAAGCAUAUGCAGAGCGAGGAAAUGCUGCUGGAUACCUCAAACGCAGCAACGUCCAUAGAAAAGCCAUGUCAGGGGGUUGCCUACAGCCACAGCUGGGUGGUUGGGCCUGGCUUCCAGAGGUUUUGCGACGUGCAAUAUUUGGCCGUGUUUGGGUGAAGUGGACUUCUUGGUGCUAUAAAUAAGAAGAUAGCAGGGUGCGGCAUCGGCGACCCCCCACCCCACCCCCGUUAUCAGCGCUACAGCAGGUGCUGCGACCCCGUGACAAGAGCUCGUAUCUUAAGAGCCAUUUUACCACGGAAAGGGAGGGGCCACAGUGUUUUAAAUGUUGCCAAAUGUUUCUGCGUGUACGUAGCUAGAAAUAGAGUCUAUAGAUCCUAGGGAGCAGUGCUAUAAAAGCAAAACAAGGAGUAACGUAUGGUUUUUAUUUAUUUGAUGUGUUUGUCCUCGUGUACGGCGGAAUUAAAACCGCUUUUGCUCACUGACAUUUUUCACCACCAGUUGAAGCCUCUUCUUGGAUGGAAUUUGUUGUGCUUCGAAAGACUUCACUUACCGCCAACACCCCUCCUGUUGCUCACGUGGCCAGUGGUGUUUGAGAUGGUGCAUGUAAAUAAAUCUUCAAGAACCGCUCCAUCACGUGCCGUUUUCCUUGUCUUUCUUUGUGCGUGAAAUGUUCUCCCUGGAGGAAUUGCAUGGCUGCAGACACUGCAGGCACCACAGAGGUGAUUUCCUAUUGGCUCACAGGCUCGGAACUCUGCACCAAUCACGCGCUGUAUCCGAGAGGAACGCAGCCCUUCUUGAUGACGUCACGGUAAACCGGAGGCUGCUUGGCAACUGACGCGGGGUGCGUGUUUUAACAUUCACAGUCUACACGCCUUAGUGCUUGUUUGUGUAGCCUUAACAAAGGAGUCCAAUGAAGCAUGAGAGCCCCCUCCAGGUCAAAAGAAGUCACUCAACAUGAAGGACGGAGGAUGCUGUCGCCAUGGCAACACAACAAGUAAGCAGGGGGAGCACAGAAGGUGUUUGGGGUGUGAAAGACAACAAAUAUUUCAAUCAUCUUAUUUAAAAUGGACCCUCUCGCCCCAAGUCAGCUGGCAUAGGCUCCAGCAUACCUGCCACCCUGGUGAGGAUACGUAGCAUAGAAGAUGAUGGAUGGAAGACUUCAGCUCACUCCUCCCGGCGGAUCCCGACAAAGUCUCUCCAAUGUGCCCUGAACACCUCCCCAGGGAGGCGUCCUGACCAGAUGCCUGAGCCACCUCAUGUGGAGGAGCAGCAGUUCUACUCCAAGUUUCUUUUGGAUGACUUGCUUCUCACCUCAUCUCUCAGGGAGAGCCAGCCACCCUACGGAGAAAACUCAUUUGGGCCGCUCGUACCCGCCAUCUUGUCCCUUCGGUCACUAUUUACAAUCUAUUAUUUAUAUAUUAAAAAUAAAUGCACAUGCAUGCAUUUUUAUGGCGCUCAUGGACACACCAACAUUUGCAUUUUAAAAUAUGGGAACUUUUCUGAAAAUAAAAGGACAUUUCCAAUUUAGUAUGAUUAGUUUUUUUUAAAUAUAAUGUUUAAUGAUAUAUUAUGUAUUUCAAAAACCAAAAAAUAAACAUUUCCAGAAAAUAAGGGAAAAUCUGAAUAUAUACUUUUCUAGUAGAUAUUAUUUAUCUGUCAUACGUUUUAAAAAUAUAUAUAAAAAUCACUCCAGAAAAUAAAAGAAGAAUUUCCCAUACUUUCCAAAUGUUGCCAGGUGUGUCCAUAGCAUGUAUAAAAAUGAAUUAUGCAAAUCGUACAAUGAAAUCCUAACCCACCACCACAUAUAGAUAGUAGUCCUGUGGGAAACGGGUCAUAGGAAUGUAAUAGUAUUAUUCUGUUGGACUUCAAUCAUUCCUUCUAACCCCAACUUGGAAGCUUAAUUACUUGAAAAAGCCUUAAAAAGAACGUUAUUAAUGAAAUCAAAGUGUUGUUAGUAAAAUAAAGCAGCCUUGUGUUCCACGUUGAAUAAACUUUAUUUCAUCGUAUAACGUGUUCUAUUGUUUGUGCCAGCAAAAGAAGUAUUGCAGUAUAAAACGUUGGAACUACUUCAAGGUGUUUCAACCAAGUGCAACAGAGUAAGUGGCUGUACGAGUGGAUGUUUACCAGCUGUGUUGGAGCUGCCAGGCCAAGCUAGGCCAGGCCAGCAUCAGCUCUGUGGACUCGGCGACAACGGUCCGGCGGUGGCGUAGAGGCAGGAGACGGUCCCGGCUUGUAUCUGGAAGGUGUGUCCGUGGAUGUGGUGGCUGGACAUGUGCUCGCUGGUCUGGCUGAUGGAGAUGGGCUGGCACCCCUGGUUGCUGACGUGGAUGGCCCGAGCGUGCUGCUGCGGCGUUUCCUGCUGCUGUUGUUGGGCGCGGCUGUGCGCCCCGUGGAGAGGCUGCGGCGGGCCGUGCUGAUCGUGCAGGUGCCCCACGGCCUCUUUGCUCAGCGUGAUGACGUGCAUGGGCUCAACGUGCGGCGCCGCCGCACCCUCCAGCAUGCUGAUCAUCUGGAUGUGGGGGGCGUGGUCGCUCUGCGGCGUCAGGGGUCUAGACUGGGCUGACGCUUCCUCGGAGGCGAUGAUGCUGAUCUCCUGGGCCUGACCCGGGACGAAGGCCAUGUCGUCCCCUGUCACCACCAGCCGGAAGUCCUGCUCCGAGGCCGGCGUCAGAUGGUACUUCCGGACCUCUUCUUGGGGCGGGGCCUCUUGGGCCGGCGAUGCUCUCUCCUUUUUGUGCGAGUUGACGUGCUUUUUCAGGUUGUCCAGACGCGUGAAGGCCUGGCCGCACUCUGAGCAGGUGAACGGCUUCUUUCCCGAGUGGGAGGCGACAUGGCGGCGUCUGGCGCUGGUGUCCGAGAAGGACUUGUCGCACACGUGGCAGCUGUACGGUUUCUCACCUCUGUGGAGCAAAAUGGAACGUUUGUGAUCGGUCGCGACAAAGAAAUGCUGCUUUUCUACUGCUCAGUACCCGCUUGACUGUGCUCUACUCUACUCUGCUG